GGGCCCGCACAAGCGGUGGAGCAUGUGGUUUAAUUCGAAGAUACGCGCAGAACCUUACCAACACUUGACAUGUUCGUCGCGACUCUAAGAGAUUAGAGUUUUCGGUUCGGCCGGACGAAACACAGGUGCUGCAUGGCUGUCGUCAGCUCGUGUCGUGAGAUGUUGGUUAAGUCCCGCAACGAGCGCAACCCUCACUUUUAGUUGCCAUCAUUUAGUUGGGCACUCUGAAAGAACUGCCAGUGAUAAGCUGGAGGAAGGUGGGGAUGACGUCAAGUCCUCAUGGCCCUUACGUGUUGGGCUACACACGUGCUACAAUGGUAUCUACAACAGGAAGCAAGACUGCGAAGUUAAG
Molecule: ribosomal RNA, 352 nt
Filed under: uncultured bacterium
Lineage: Bacteria
Description: bacterial SSU rRNA
Rfam family: Bacterial small subunit ribosomal RNA
Source: RNAcentral